Cynocephalus volans (Philippine flying lemur) is the source of this 104-nucleotide small nuclear RNA. NCBI's taxonomy places the organism in Eukaryota, Metazoa, Chordata, Mammalia, Dermoptera, Cynocephalidae. The record is from RefSeq and is a predicted model, not a curated record.
GUGCUUGUUUUGGCAGCACAUAUAUUAAAAUUGGACCCAAACGGAGGUUAGCAUGGCCCCUGCACAAGUGUGACAUGCAAAUUCUUGAAGCAUUCCAUAUUAAA